GCACAGGAACGUGCCCAAUAGUGGGGGAUAACGCACCGAAAGGUGUGCUAAUACCGCAUACGCCCUGAGGGGGAAAGCGGGGGAUCUUCGGACCUCGUGCUAAUGGAGCGGCCUAUGUCUGAUUAGCUAGUUGGUGGGGUAAAGGCCUACCAAGGCGACGAUCAGUAGCUGGUCUGAGAGGAUGAUCAGCCACACUGGGACUGAGACACGGCCCAGACUCCUACGGGAGGCAGCAGUGGGGAAUUUUGGACAAUGGGGGCAACCCUGAUCCANCCAUGCCGCGUGAGUGAAGAAGGCCUUCGGGUUGUAAAGCUCUUUCAGUGGGAACGAAACGAUGGGCUCUAACAUAGUCCGUUAAUGACGGUACCCACAGAAGAAGCACCGGCUAACUACGUGCCAGCAGCCGCGGUAAUACGUAGGGUGCGAGCGUUAAUCGGAAUUACUGGGCGUAAAGCGUGCGCAGGCGGUUUCUUAANCCANAUGUGAAAGCCCCGGGCUUAACCUGGGAAUUGCGUUUGGAACUGGGANACUANAGUGUGGCANANGGAGGUAAAAUUCC
Molecule: ribosomal RNA, 559 nt
Filed under: beta proteobacterium enrichment culture clone WIP10m11C
Lineage: Bacteria; Pseudomonadati; Pseudomonadota; Betaproteobacteria
Description: bacterial SSU rRNA
Rfam family: Bacterial small subunit ribosomal RNA
Source: RNAcentral